UACGGAGGGUGCGAGCGUUCUCCGGAAUUACUGGGUUUAAAGGGUGCGUAGGCGGCUAAGUAAGUCAGGAGUGAAAGUUUGCGGCUCAACCGUAAAAUUGCUUUUGAUACUGCAUAGCUAGAAUUAGGAUGAGGUCAGCGGAAUGUGGCAUGUAGCGGUGAAAUGCAUAGAUAUGCCAUAGAACACCAAUUGCGAAGGCAGCUGGCUAGACCUGGAUUGACGCUGAGGCACGAAAGCGUGGGGAGCGAACAGG
Molecule: ribosomal RNA, 253 nt
Filed under: uncultured bacterium
Lineage: Bacteria
Description: partial 16S ribosomal RNA
Rfam family: Bacterial small subunit ribosomal RNA
Source: RNAcentral